AACCACACUAUCAAUGAAUGGAUGCACCCGUGAUAUGACAUAGUUGUUCCACUUAGGACAAGGACGUGGCCUAUUACCAGCUAUCGCACGAAAUUAAUAGGAUGCCACAUCCUUAUCCUAGGUGAAACAACCACUUCAUAUCAUGGACGAAUCCAUUCAUUAAUAGUGUGGUG
This is a non-coding RNA of Oryza glaberrima (African rice), 173 nucleotides long. NCBI's taxonomy places the organism in Eukaryota, Viridiplantae, Streptophyta, Magnoliopsida, Poales, Poaceae. The record is from Rfam.